This 253-nucleotide ribosomal RNA is filed under the name uncultured bacterium. RNAcentral describes it as "partial 16S ribosomal RNA". It matches the Rfam family "Bacterial small subunit ribosomal RNA", at positions 524 to 776 of the family's 1533-position model. The record is from RNAcentral.
UACAGGGGGUGCAAACGUUGCUCGGAAUUAUUGGGCGUAAAGCGCGCGUAGGCGGCCACUUAAGUCGGAUGUGAAAGCCCCUGGCUCAACUGGGGAAGUGCACCCGAAACUGAAUGGCUUGAAUGCAAAAGAGGGUCGCGGAAUUCCCGGUGUAGAGGUGAAAUUCGUAGAUAUCGGGAGGAACACCGGUGGCGAAGGCGGCGACCUGGGUUGACACUGACGCUGAGGCGCGAAAGCUAGGGGAGCGAACGGG